GCUUUGUGGUGUAACGGUAGCACACUCGACGCGUAUUCGAGAGUUCCAGGUUCGAGUCCCGGCAAGGGCA
Molecule: transfer RNA, 70 nt
Filed under: Stegodyphus mimosarum
Lineage: Eukaryota; Metazoa; Arthropoda; Arachnida; Araneae; Eresidae
Rfam family: tRNA
About the family: Transfer RNA (tRNA) molecules are approximately 80 nucleotides in length.
Source: Rfam by way of RNAcentral